Molecule: ribosomal RNA, 253 nt
Filed under: uncultured bacterium
Lineage: Bacteria
Description: partial 16S ribosomal RNA
Rfam family: Bacterial small subunit ribosomal RNA
Source: RNAcentral
UACGUAGGUGGCGAGCGUUAUCCGGAAUUACUGGGUGUAAAGGGUGUGUAGGCGGGGUUUCAAGUCAGGCGUGAAAUGCAACGGCUCAACCAUUGAAUUGCGCUUGAAACUGAAACUCUUGAGAGUGGGAGAGGUAAACGGAAUUCCUGGUGUAGUAGUGAAAUGCGUAGAUAUCAGGAGGAACACCGGUGGCGAAGGCGGUUUACUGGACCACAACUGACGCUGAGACACGAAAGCGUGGGGAGCAAACAGG